GAGCUGGGAACAGCAGCCAGGCUAAGCUGAACAGUCUCAUGCUGCAGCUGGCGCUGCCUGAAUCGUGAGGGACAGCCCCAGGAUGUGCUGCAGAGGGAGAGUUUGGGUGUGGGGGUUUCACACAUGUAAGUGCUGAGGCUUUUGCCUGCUGGUGUGAAUCAUCACUGGACCAGACUGUCUCCAGCCUUUCCCCAGCAAGCAAAGGAGAGAGUGGUGAUACGAGGAGCUUCCCUUCCAUGCCUUCCACACCACACCAUCCAGGGGCUGGUCCAUGUCCCCUGAGUAUCGACCGGAGCUCAGCGCAGCCUGCAGCACGAGGCCUACAUUCUACACCAGCGCCCCGCUUUGGCACUGCAGCACAGUGAGAGUCCAUGUAACCUGAAGGAUAAGGAUCACGCAGAGAGAUGGAGCUGUAGCAUUUGUCUUUCCUGAAUGCACCUAAUGAAGCCCAAAUGACAAAAGGUAACAUACUGUAUGUGUUUUAGCUCAUUAAUAAAU
This 498-nucleotide long non-coding RNA is filed under the name Chrysemys picta bellii (western painted turtle). Its description in RNAcentral is "lncRNA (ENSCPBG00000018275.1)". The record is from RNAcentral. Lineage: Eukaryota; Metazoa; Chordata; Testudines; Emydidae.